Molecule: non-coding RNA, 1406 nt
Organism: Aegilops tauschii subsp. strangulata
Lineage: Eukaryota; Viridiplantae; Streptophyta; Magnoliopsida; Poales; Poaceae
Source: RefSeq, a predicted model, not a curated record
GCUGACGUGGCAAAGGGGCCAGAUGCCAAGGACCCUGGCGUCUGGCCCUGGUAACUGGAUAACGGCGUGGGCCAGCCCACCCAUCCUCAUCUCAUCUUCUCCUGGCGGCGCCUCACGAAUAGAGGGGUUGUGUUCGUCGCCCCUCCUCUCCCUCGCACCACCACCCACCUGAUCUAUUCCAUCCUCCGCUCAAACUCGUAGAUCUGACCCCCCCCCAAGCAUCUUUGAGGAUGGCGGAUGAUGAUGGACCUUGGUAUGAUGGAUUAAUCCAAGAGUGGGAUAAGGAACAUCGUGCUCAUGCCAUUGAGAACGGAAAGCCUGUAGUUGCUAUGCGCAUGAGGGGUCAUUGCGCUAAUGACUUUCCUUACGACGCGUGGUACAAGCCGUACAUUUGGAGAUUGGGUCUUCUCCCAUUCGUGUUGCAGUUUAAGCGACGCCCUCCGCCGGUGAACCACGCGGCGCUGACCGCACUUGUGGAUCGUUGGAGGCCCGAGACUCACUCGUUCCACCUUUCAUUUGGGGAGAUGACGAUGACCCUAGAGGACAUGGCUAUGAUAAGCGGCCUUCCUAUCAACGGACGAGCUGUUACCGGUUGUGUCAGCGCCAUUAAUUGGCGACAACGGGCAGGCAUUUUAAUUGGUGUUGAGCCCGAUGCCCCUCUGCCAGGCAAGGCCGAUGCCUCGAAAGUGAGGCAUUCUUGGCUAAAACAAGUCAGAGGAGAAGGCAAUCCGUGCCCUCGGGGUGCCAAUGACCUGGUUGUGCAGCAGUACGCGCAGGCCUAUCUUUGGUAUGUACUAACUAAGGUAGUCUUCUCAGACGCAACCGUGAACUCAGCCCUCUGGAUGUUUUUGGAGCUACUCACUAACUGGGAUACCCAGUAUAGCUGGGGUUCGGCCGCACUAGCAUACUUGUAUCGUCAGCUAAGAGAUAUUUGCAACCAUUUAUCUUGCAUUUGUCAUGCGCCUCCAUAUCUAACAUGUUUGUUUGAUUGCAGCUUGACUUGGCGUGUCGCAGGAAGGGAGAUACAUCCUCAUUGGCUGGGUUUGUUUGGAGCCUAUCCGUGUGGAUGUGGGAGCGGAUCCCGGUUGGACGGCCCGAUUUCAAGAACGCCGAACACCCAAACCCACUUAGUAAUCAUGACGGGGCGCAUGAUGAUGAUCCAUAUCGGCGCCCUACGGUUGCGUACUAUUGGGAACGGGUGACUGUGUACACAGGAAGCUCGCAUGUGCGAUACAAGUGCUAUAUGAACGAGCUGGACACCUUGACUGUUGAGCAGGUCCAUUGGUUGUGCUGAAAGAACAUGCGGUGCCCCCAUGUUUGGUUUUGGUAAUUGAUGACAAUCUCUAUGGACUAAUGGUUGCCUUGAGUUAUAUUUGAAGGAUUUGUCCAUAGGCAUUUCUUGAAGU